This 237-nucleotide unclassified non-coding RNA is filed under the name Hevea brasiliensis (rubber tree). The record is from RNAcentral. Lineage: Eukaryota; Viridiplantae; Streptophyta; Magnoliopsida; Malpighiales; Euphorbiaceae.
AGGUCUCUACUUGAGUAUAAUUGGGUAUUUGGGACAUAAAACCUCUCAAUCUUUUCCCUCUGAAUGAAUGAACAUGAGACAAGAUCUUAUACGGGGCAUGAUUUAGAAUCCUCUGCUCCUUUGCAAUUGAUGCUUAGUCCUGCUGUUGCCUUGUAUCCUUUGCUUUUAACUUAUGCACAAUUUUUUUUGUUAUUCAUUCAUUUUUUUUUAACUUUCAGUAUUCCUUUUUUGAAGAUU